This is a non-coding RNA of Phoenix dactylifera (date palm), 166 nucleotides long. NCBI's taxonomy places the organism in Eukaryota, Viridiplantae, Streptophyta, Magnoliopsida, Arecales, Arecaceae. The record is from RefSeq and is a predicted model, not a curated record.
GUAUACCAUCAUCAGUGGAGGGAGCUUGUUCACUAUUGGUUUUCCGAGAGAGGACAGACAUAUUCUGACAUUGGUCGAGCCGCACGAGCAUCUCAGACAAUUCCUCACACUUCAGGCUCGAAGAGUUAUGCGAGGCUCAGAGCUGAAUUCAUGGAAGACCAUGGGA